This 225-nucleotide non-coding RNA is filed under the name Clostridium autoethanogenum. RNAcentral describes it as "T-box sequence". It matches the Rfam family "T-box leader". From Rfam's summary of the family: Uncharged tRNA acts as the effector for transcription antitermination of genes in the T-box leader family. T-boxes are found upstream of many aminoacyl-tRNA synthetase genes and some amino acid biosynthetic genes usually in Gram-positive bacteria. Lineage: Bacteria; Bacillati; Bacillota; Clostridia; Eubacteriales; Clostridiaceae. The record is from RNAcentral.
ACACUUACUGUGAAAGAGAAAGUAGAUAUAUGAUUUUUAUCAGAGAAAAAAAGUCAGGGCUGAAAGCUUUUUUUAAAACAUUAUAUAUUGAAGUUCCUCCUGGAGUACUGGCUGUGAAAUUAUAAUUAGUAGUCAGCGGUUAAUUAUCGUUAAAAUAUACAAAGAGGAUAUUAUUUCUAAUAGUAUCAAUUUGGGUGGUAACGCGGAUCAAAGUUCGUCCCUUAG